This 352-nucleotide long non-coding RNA is filed under the name Manacus vitellinus (golden-collared manakin). RNAcentral's name for it is "lncRNA (ENSMVIG00005019712.1)". Lineage: Eukaryota; Metazoa; Chordata; Aves; Passeriformes; Pipridae. The record is from RNAcentral.
CGGACCGGCCAUGGCCCCGCCCCGCCGGCCCCGCCCCCCGCCCCCACGCCCUCAGGGUGAAAUGGCGGCAGCGACAGCGCUGACUGGGGCUCUUACGGGAUAUUCCGGGCAUUGCCCACUCGGCUUCGCCGUCCCGCCCGCGCCUCUGACCCCGGGCAUGGAGGCUUUGGGAAAGCACCCGUUUUUUCUGAAUUUUGGAAUGUUUGGCAGAACCUACCACUCAGAUGUCCACGUAUGAACUAGUAGAGUGAGGUGUUCCCUUGCUCUCUAGAGGAUGCCUGCACUUCAAGGUUUGGUUGGUUUGGUUUAUUUGAAGAACUAAGUCUGAUAAUAAAAUGAAGUCAAACCCACA